Ostrea edulis (European flat oyster) is the source of this 3465-nucleotide long non-coding RNA. RefSeq lists it as uncharacterized. The record is from RefSeq and is a predicted model, not a curated record. The transcript has 2 exons. Lineage: Eukaryota; Metazoa; Mollusca; Bivalvia; Ostreida; Ostreidae.
UGGCUUAAACACAGAUCCACUACACUGAUAACUGCUGUCAUACGUGGACACAUCACACAUGUCGAUGCUCCCCAAAGUGUUUGGUUUCGAUACUGUGGUUACUUGGUACACACUACAAGGUAGCACCUCAGAACAAGCCGAACAAGGGCAACAUUUACAACAAUGCCAAAGUGUCUGCAAUAAAGUUAUUCUAUAAUACUUAUCAUUUCCAUUAGUGGAACUCUUCAAAUUAAAGGCGCGUAAAGUCGUGCUACCGGCACAACAUACGUAAACAUUACUUAGGUAUACAUAAUAUUGUAACGUGUUUAGGUUCGAUGAUUCGGACCAGUCGGGGGAAAGUAUGAUUAUUGAUGAAUGAAUAUGUAUUUAAAACAAAUGAACAACCAAGAUAACGAACGAGUCAAUAUAUACAAAUAGUUUCCAGGAUUACCUAUCCUAAUCACACAUAGCAUUGAAACCUAUAAGUUAUGGGUAAACAAGGCUGGGACCUAUGCUAGUCUGUAUCCACUACCGGACAGAUACUUGUGUAGUAUGUACGUCCUACUACAACCGGACAAAAGGCAAUAACAGAGGAAAUACUUUAUUACUAUCCUCUAGACCAGUUUACUCGCCACCGUAUACUGAAUUACAUUAAUACACACCGUAUUAAAUGUUGUCCACCUUCUCUUCUGUCGACCUCCGAAAAAUGAACUGCGAUCUAUUGCCAGAACGCCCGUAUUUAUACUACUGAGCACCCGAACUACCCUCGGAUGCUAUCGUAAUGCCCUACGAUAAAGCCCGGUUGACGUAAGCGUUAUAUUUAGCCUCCAACAGGUUAUGAUACAUCCCGAACCCGAUCUCAAUUUGUCACAAUAUGAAUUAUGGUAUCGGAUACAUAUUAUAUAUAACCAACUGCAAACCACAACACUGAUUAAAAUUCUAAAGUUAAAUUUAGGAAUUGAUUAUUCUUACAAGAAAACAGACGAACUUAUCAAACUAUGUGAGGGGGUGCAGGUACUAAAUCUGCCAAAUCUGACCGAUAUAAAGCAUCAAUCGCAAAAAGAACUGUGAAGGGAAAAACCUAUAUGCACAUCCAACACAAAAAGUUUUAAUGUGAGUAAUAUGUUUUUAAAGUUAUUCUGUCAGACUAUGAAGACAUUCUAUUUUAUCAUACAAUUAGGACAGGUUCAUAUGGCAUGGACUUGGUAAUCGUACACGAACACCCCCCCCCCCCCCAUUUCCAUAUUUUAGAACAAGUUAUAUAUAUAUAUAUAUGCCAAACUGAAUUUUUUAAAGACGUUUAUAACACUAAUUAACACAACUAAUGCGUUUCCAAACUGCAUUUAAGCUAUUUUGAAAAUUACAAAAUAUUGAUGGAUUUAGGACAGAGAACAUCAUUGUUUGGAAUUUUUAAAAUAGGUGCGGUGGAGUUUAAAAACAUGUAACAUUUUUAAUAAGAUUGUGUUAGAAUAUUUGAAAAAUGCAGUUUGACCAAUGGUUAUUUUAUUUAAAAAUACACCAUGUAUUUUAACUCUUAAAAAAGGGGGGUGUGUGUGCUAUGACCGUUUCGUUUAUGUCCCAGUAAUCUCGCACUUGCUCGCGAGACUUGUGCAUUUUCUUACCAAUGACGCACAAGAGUCAUCAAAGCGCGAUAACUCAACGAGCUGGUAAUGAGAAGUUCUGGUUAAAGCGUGUUCAUAUCAAUACGUCCUUCUCGCUGGACAGCUCAGUUCCUACUGGACUUUUGCGAGAAGGGCUGACUUUUACAAUUUACGGCUGAAUUUGACAUAAGCUUAAUAUACGAAAACCUUUUCGUGACAUUUUUGUACAUACAUGAAUAAGCGAUGAACCGAGGCAAUGUACAGAAAUGUUAGUUGUAUCGAGUUGUUCCGGUUCCUUUCCAUACUCGUACUAUUUCUCACACGCAUUUGAGAAGCAGUAGAUGAUAUUUGACGGUUGAUUAUAGCCGAUAAAUGGACUUUAUUUCCAGUUCACCAUGACAAUGCGAGAGGUAGGACCUUGACAUAGUUGCCUCUAAACGGUAGGGGUCUAAUUAUCAUAUUAAAUCGAAAUUUUCGAGCGAUGCAGGCGGUAAAACAGAAAACCAAGAUGGCGGCGUGAUAUACCUUGUGAAUAUCAUGUUUACAGGAAAACAAUUUUUUUAAAUUAUAGAUAUUUAAUUAAAACGUCGAGUGUCAGUGUGUGUGCUAUCUCUGUUACAGUAAAGUCUAUGUGACCUAAUAUCCCCAUAUAUCCCUCCUGCAACCCCGCUCCCACGGGGAUCCGGGUUAGAAUAGGUCCUCAGUACCCCUUGCUUGUCGUAGAAGGCGAUUAAAUAGGGUGGUCCUUUGGAUGAGACCGCAAAAACCCGAGGCCCCAUGUCGCAGCAGGUGUGGCACGAGAAAUAUCCAUCCCGGCUCAAAGGCAAUAAGCGCCGAGCAUAGGCCUAAAUUUCACAGGUCUUCACCGGCAAUGGUCACCAUUUUCUCUCGAGCGACGUUAAACAAUAUUCAAUCAAUCAAUCAAUCCUGCAUCCCCGGAUUUUACCUGUGUCGUGAUCAAUGAUAAGCCGCCGGUCAAUCAAACUUUUAACAAUAGAGCUUAAGUUGACUGACGUUUGCAGAGACCGUGGUCUACUGCUACCCGAGAAAGAUGUUUUGAUAACAUUCACAGCUAAUGAUGACCUGCAGUCUUUAGAUCUCGAGGAAAGCCCCGGUAUACCUGAGUUUUGAUAGCAUUGACUCGCACCUAGGAUGGAACAAAUAUUGAUCAAUGUUAAAGCAUCUUCCCUACAACCUCACAUUUGUAAUAAAGAUCUAGGUCUCUACCGAAAUUGUAAAUUGAAAAUGAUCUCCGGGGUAAACGUACUGACUCGCAAAGUAACAUCUUGGAAUAUGAUUGUGAACUUACGUGGAUUUUCAUCCUAAUCUUGUGGUCUCCUAGCUCCAAAAUUCAGUACACUAUUAGGCGAAAUCUUUAACGAAGUGCAAUGUUUAUGAAAGGCAGGCUAAGAUAAUGUGUGAUGUCAUGUCUACGUUUCGACGUACGUCAUAAUAAGACGGACAGUGGCGGAUCUAAAGUCUCAAUAUACCUGGCGAAUUGCCAAUACGAAGCUAAAGUGACCAGGGUUAAAAUGUAAAUAUGUUAAAAGAGUAUUUUAUAGAAUUUAAAUAGUUUCAUUGUUAUUGAUAUCUGUAUUAAUAUAGGGAGGUGACCAUUCUACAUUGAUCCAGUGCCUUUUUAUGGGAUUCGAAACUGUGACUGUGAGAUGUAUGAGAGUUUGACUUCUAGGCGGGCAAUUCUACUUUCACUUUAAACGGAUGACAGGUGCCUGAGUGUAUCUCGACCCAUUUCCAGGCUAGCAUCAGAUGUCAUGAUGGACCUUUAAAAUCUUUCACAUGUGUACUUUCAAGAACCAUAUACAUUAUUUUUGAAAAUUGGUUGCCAUGGUAAUAAAAUCUGAAAAUUAAAACAUGGGCUUCUGAA